GGGGUUGUGGCUCAACGGUAGAGCGCUUGCCUAGCAUGUAUGAGACCCUGGGUUUGAUCCUCAGCACCA
RNAcentral lists this transfer RNA (69 nucleotides) under Ictidomys tridecemlineatus (thirteen-lined ground squirrel). RNAcentral describes it as "Spermophilus tridecemlineatus (thirteen-lined ground squirrel) tRNA". It matches the Rfam family "tRNA". Rfam says of the family: Transfer RNA (tRNA) molecules are approximately 80 nucleotides in length. The record is from Rfam by way of RNAcentral. Lineage: Eukaryota; Metazoa; Chordata; Mammalia; Rodentia; Sciuridae.